CCUACGGGUGGCAGCAGUGAGGAAUAUUGGGCAAUGGGCGCGAGCCUGAACCAGCCAAGUAGCGUGAAGGAUGACUGCCCUACGGGUUGUAAACUUCUUUUAUAAAGGAAUAAAGUGCGGCACGUGUGCCUUUUUGCAUGUACCUUAUGAAUAAGGAUCGGCUAACUCCGUGCCAGCAGCCGCGGUAAUACGGAGGGUCCGAGCGUUAUCCGGAUUUAUUGGGUUUAAAGGGUGCGUAGAUGGGUUGUUAAGUCAGUUGUGAAAGUUUGCGGCUCAACCGUAAAAUUGCAAUUGAUACUGGCAGUCUUGAGGACAGUUGAGGUAGGCGGAAUUCGUGGUGUAGCGGUGAAAUGCUUAGAUAUCACGAAGAACUCCGAUUGCGAAGGCAGCUUACUAAACUGCAACUGACAUUGAUGCUCGAAAGUGUGGGUAUCAAACAGGAUUAGAUACCCUAGUAGUC
Molecule: ribosomal RNA, 460 nt
Filed under: uncultured bacterium
Lineage: Bacteria
Description: partial 16S ribosomal RNA
Rfam family: Bacterial small subunit ribosomal RNA
Source: RNAcentral